AUGUGAGAUAAAAAGGUAAUUGGGAAUGCGUUAAUGGAAAACGCAAAAAUUUUCUAGGGAAAAAUGGCUUUCCAAACAAAGCUAAGUCGUGUCAAAACAUGCAUGAGUGAAAACUAUGUUGUAUACAAUUGAAAGCAAUGACAACAUAUAAAUGAGCAGAUGCAGCCAUAGCAUUGUGAGUUCCAUAUAUGCCAGAAUGAUGGAAUCUGCCUCUUGUGACUCAGUUAAGGACAAUCUCACUCUCAGCCCUUAUUGAUAUCGUCAUCACAUAGGUGCUGGAGUUCUUGGUCAUGCUCUAAUCUGCUUGAUUUUCACAUAGAAAAGCAUAUUUCAUAGGUUAUUUACUUCAGUUAUAUCAUCAGACAUUUGGGGUGGAUGACCUGUCUUUUGUGCAAAUGGUCAGAUGGAACAAUGUAUCAUCAGACAUCAGGCAGCUACUGCAAUAUCUUGGCAGGUAUACUAAGGUAGUUGGAUGUAGCUUUAGUGAUAAAUGUGCAAAACAAAAACGGUCUGCUAUAACAGAUAAUCCAACUCACUGACAUGUACACCUGCAAUUAUAUAUGAUAAAAAAGUUUUAGGCAUUUAUUUGCUUUGACAUCUGUACCUGGAUCUUGAAACUGCAAUUCUAUAUAAAAAGUGCUGUCAAACACAGAAUCAGAUGCCUCUUUUAUCGAGCAGCUUUUACACAUUGAAGUAAAGAAGAUCUUUAAAAUCAUCAUUGCCAAUUCAUGAUCUGGUGCAAUGACUAACAUGUUAUUUGUCUAUUCAACAUUGUACAUUUCUAAUUGGAUUGGCAUAUAAUUCGACAAAAUCUUACAGAUCAAAAUCUUUGUUAAUUUUUAGUGAAAAAUCAAGUUGUGCAGAAAUGUAAGACUUGAAUAUUCUGGUCAUCAACAAUGGUAGACUAUUAAAACGGAAAAGAUAAUUAAACUGUUGAUCCAGGAUUCCACCUUAAGAAAGAAAACCUGAUAUCAUUAGGAUCUAGUACCUGAUGAACCUUUUCAUGCCUUUUACUUUUCAGAAAGCAAUCCACAACCAGCUUGCUCUUUGCUUCUUUUUCAAUUCUCUGAGUCAUUCUUUUUUUUUAUUCCCCUCUUCGGAGUUCUGUCGGUUGGAGGAAGUUGGAUUAUCUAUUUCUCUGCAAACUUGUGCAUCUCGAAAAGAAAAAACCAAAAUGGGAAAUAUGGUUCUGAUCAAGGAACUUUUACUGCGCCGGAAAGAAGUAUUUUGUGUCAGACCUUAAAAACCAAUUGUGACAAUCAAAGAGACAAAACUGAGCUACCCAGAAUCAAUCUCAGACUUGAGCAAAUGUAAAAUGAGACAGUCUAUCUGCAGAAGGCACUUUCAAGUCAGAUUUGUUCUCUCUCACUGCCAUUCUAAACUAUGAACCUGGAAAAAGUACACACACACACAUAUUCCUGAAUUUGUUUUUAUGAAGAAUGCUGUCAACAAAACCGAGUACAAGAUAUAUAAAAAUCCAAGCAAAUUAAAACUUAGUUUUUAAGCCAUGCAGAAAAUCGAAAAAGAAAGAAAUGAAAAACCAAUGGAUAUGAGGUUGCAGAAUAAUGGUUGAUUACAGUUUUUAACAAUGAGGAGCACAUCAGGGGAUGGAAUAAGGAUUAGCUGCACCAUGGUAAAGAAAAAAGAAUUUCGCUCGUUAGUUUUUUCCAUCGCAAAUCCUCUCAAGAAGUUGGACCCAUCAAUCUAGUGCAUAAACAUCUAGCACAACAAUGAUCUUAAUCCGGUAAAGAAUUCCAUAUCCUAUCAUGUGGUC
This 1774-nucleotide long non-coding RNA is filed under the name Coffea arabica (coffee). Its description in RNAcentral is "long non-coding RNA (CARA_LNC001394)". The record is from RNAcentral. Lineage: Eukaryota; Viridiplantae; Streptophyta; Magnoliopsida; Gentianales; Rubiaceae.